RNAcentral lists this ribosomal RNA (133 nucleotides) under uncultured bacterium. Its description in RNAcentral is "partial 16S ribosomal RNA". The record is from RNAcentral.
AGUUAGCCGUGGCUUAUUCCUAUGGUACCGUCAAAAUUUCGUCCCAUAGAAAAGACCUUUACACCCCGAAAGGCGUCAUCGGUCACGCGGCGUCGCUGCAUCAGACUUUCGUCCAUUGUGCAAAAAUUCCUCA